CCAAAGGCUCUUCUAAGAGCCAAAAAAAAUUUGGGGAAGAGUGGCU
Molecule: non-coding RNA, 46 nt
Organism: Aptenodytes forsteri (emperor penguin)
Lineage: Eukaryota; Metazoa; Chordata; Aves; Sphenisciformes; Spheniscidae
Source: Rfam